GAAUGUGAAAGCAUAGGCUCUUGGGACAUCCCCAGACCCUCUGACUGCAAAUAGUCCUGAAGGUUCCCAGUCCUAGGACCUCUGAGGGCACCAGACACAUGUGGUACAUAGAUGUACAUGCAAACAAGAUACCUGGAGAGAGAGAGAGAGACAGAGAGAGAGAAUAUCCUACAAGGGUGUCAGAAGGCCCCCUGGAGUAUUCAUGGGAUAAAGACAAAAGGUCUCAGACCACGGAUGUCUCUGAAGCAGUGCAUGGCCCGGCCUUCUUCACCGAACCCUUCCUUCAGUGCUCAGGCUUCCAGGGAGCCUGCCACAUCAUGCCUGACUCCACCAUCCUGUCUUUGCGAUUAUUCUGAUCUGACAUCUUUCCUGGGCUGC
Long non-coding RNA from Psammomys obesus (fat sand rat), 378 nucleotides. RefSeq lists it as uncharacterized. The transcript has 3 exons. Lineage: Eukaryota; Metazoa; Chordata; Mammalia; Rodentia; Muridae. The record is from RefSeq and is a predicted model, not a curated record.